RNAcentral lists this ribosomal RNA (184 nucleotides) under Fidelibacterota bacterium. Its description in RNAcentral is "partial 23S ribosomal RNA". It matches the Rfam family "Bacterial large subunit ribosomal RNA", at positions 2748 to 2925 of the family's 2925-position model. Lineage: Bacteria; Pseudomonadati; Fidelibacterota. The record is from RNAcentral.
GCUACGUUCGGCAGGGAUAAGCGCUGAAAGCAUAUAAGUGCGAAACCCAUCCUAAGAUAAGAUUUCCCUUCUUUUAGACUAAAGACUUCCAGAAGAAUACUGGUUUGAUAGGCCACAGAUGUAAGUGCAGUAAUGUAUUUAGUCGAGUGGUACUAAGUAGUCGUGAGACUUGACUUCUUUUUAU